Molecule: ribosomal RNA, 501 nt
Filed under: uncultured bacterium
Lineage: Bacteria
Description: partial 16S ribosomal RNA
Rfam family: Bacterial small subunit ribosomal RNA
Source: RNAcentral
AUUGAACGCUGGCGGCAGGCUUAACACAUGCAAGUCGAGCGGGGGAAGGUAGCUUGCUACCGGACCUAGCGGCGGACGGGUGAGUAAUGCCUAGGAAUCUGCCUAUUAGUGGGGGACAACAUCUCGAAAGGGAUGCUAAUACCGCAUACGUCCUACGGGAGAAAGCAGGGGAUCUUCGGACCUUGCGCUAAUAGAUGAGCCUAGGUCGGAUUCGCUAGUUGGUGGGGUAAAGGCCUACUAAGGCGACGAGCUUUAGCGGGUCUGAGAGGAUGAGCCGCCAACAUGGGACGGAGACACGGCCCAGACUCCUACGGGAGGCAGCAGUGGGGAAUAUUGGACAAGGGGGGGAACCCUGAUCCAGCCAUGCCGCGUGUGUGAAGAAGGCCUUAUGGUUGUAAAGCACUUUAAGCGAGGAGGAGGCUACUCUAGUUAAUACCUAGGGAUAGUGGACGUUACUCGCAGAAUAAGCACCGGCUAACUCUGUGCCAGCCGCCGCCGUAA